Molecule: ribosomal RNA, 498 nt
Filed under: uncultured bacterium
Lineage: Bacteria
Description: partial 16S ribosomal RNA
Rfam family: Bacterial small subunit ribosomal RNA
Source: RNAcentral
AUUGAACGCUGGCGGCAUGCCUUACACAUGCAAGUCGAACGGUAACAGGUCUUCGGAUGCUGACGAGUGGCGAACGGGUGAGUAAUACAUCGGAACGUGCCUAGCAGUGGGGGAUAACUACUCGAAAGAGUGGCUAAUACCGCAUGAGAUCUACGGAUGAAAGCAGGGGAUCGCAAGACCUUGUGCUACUAGAGCGGCCGAUGGCAGAUUAGGUAGUUGGUGGGAUAAAAGCUUACCAAGCCGACGAUCUGUAGCUGGUCUGAGAGGACGAUCAGCCACACUGGGACUGAGACACGGCCCAGACUCCUGCGGGAGGCAGCAGUGGGGAAUUUUGGACAAUGGGCGCAAGCCUGAUCCAGCAAUGCCGCGUGCAGGAUGAAGGCCUUCGGGUUGUAAACUGCUUUUGUACGGAACGAAAAGCCCCGGGUUAAUACCCUGGGGUCAUGACGGUACCGUAAGAAUAAGCACCGGCUAACUACGUGCCAGCCGCCGCGGUAA